This 1500-nucleotide long non-coding RNA is filed under the name Ictidomys tridecemlineatus (thirteen-lined ground squirrel). RNAcentral's name for it is "lncRNA (ENSSTOG00000032729.1)". The record is from RNAcentral. Lineage: Eukaryota; Metazoa; Chordata; Mammalia; Rodentia; Sciuridae.
GACAAGACAGCUAAUCCAGGAGGGAGGCCUGAGAGAGAUGAAGACGUCGAGUCUAGAUAUGAAUUAGUAGUGAGUAUAUUAUUUGAAGAAAUGUUGAACAGCUAGGCAAAUAUUUGAUACCUUUGAAUUGGAGCCUACGUUUUUCACAGGCAGAGCAGCGUCAGCAGCUGCUUGAGACAUCUCGCUUCCUCGAAUGUACCUGGCUGUCACACCCAGUUCUGUGGGCCACCUCUUGCUGCAUACUCAGAGGAAACUGGGGCCGAGAAGUCAGGGGUGCCUGGGACCCUCUAGCCUGACUCCAGACCGGGAAACUGAAGCCCCGAGGAGUCACAGGCACUCCAGGAGUCCAAGAGGAAGAUGGAGGAAGAAAGCCAGAGAAAGUGAGGAGGGCGGUUCCUGCUGUAGCCUUUAAGGAGCUAAAGCGUUCUCUGAAACAAUGUGGAAUAAGCUGUCCUUCUGAGGGCAGAUCAUCUAUUGCCAUUUCAACUCUUUUAUGGUUCUUUAUCUGCUAACAAGUUUCUACCUAUUAUUGAGCCAACCUGGAUAAUGUAUGUUUUUCUAGAAAUUAUUCUUUUUAUUUUUUGGUUCUGAGGAUUGAACCAUGGUCUUGCACUUCCCAUACGCUCUUUCACUGAUCACUUCCCAUACGCUCUUUCACUGAUCUAUACUCCUAGCCCCUGUAACUACUUUCUUAUUUCUCAUAAUGUUUUUGCUUUUUUCCUUUCCUUUGAAAAAGAAAGGACUCCCUUGAGGGGAGUCCAUGUAAUUAAUUGUUUUUUUAAUAAAGCAUCAUAUUUGGGUUUAUUUAUAUUAUUUUGUUUUCUGUCUCAUUAUAUUCAACAUUUACUUUUAUUAAUUCCCUCCUACUGUGUGUCCUUUUGUAUUAUUUUAAUUUCCUAAGUUAAACACAUAAAUGGAAUUUUCUCAUUUUAUUUUUAAUGACAAAUAAUUUAUGUACUGUAAAUUUUCCUCUGAUUGCAGCUUUAUCUGUGUCCCUUAGGUUUUGAUGUAGUUCCUUUGUGAUUCCUUAAUGAUUUGGGGGGAAGAUCAUUUUUUUUUUAAACUCUUGCCUUCUGUUUUUGCUGAGACAUGAUCAGAGACUAUGACAUGUAGAAUCUUGAUUUUACUGAGACUGUCUAAAGUUUUGCUUGUGGACAAGAACAUGCUUGAUGUCGGGGAACAUAAGAGAAGAAAGGAUAUUCUCUGCUUACAGAGUAAAACCUAUAACAAUUAAACUAAGCUCCUAACUCAACUGUUCAAAUCUUGUCUACUAAGAUCUUCUGUUUUCUGGAAGACAUAGGACAUCAUCAUUAUCCAAGAACACUUGUACUAGAAGAAAACAUUUUAUAGUGAAUCUACUGAAGGAAGGGCAAAAUUUCAUUCAUAAGGCAAAAAGACUUUACUGCUAUUAUAUACUGAGAAGUAAAACUAAAUAUUAUAAAAAGUAAUUAUCCAAUAUUACUGAAAUUUAGGUUAAAAUGUAAAAAUGUAACAAUUUUU